RNAcentral lists this long non-coding RNA (255 nucleotides) under Olea europaea (common olive). RNAcentral describes it as "long non-coding RNA (OEUR_LNC008689)". The record is from RNAcentral. Lineage: Eukaryota; Viridiplantae; Streptophyta; Magnoliopsida; Lamiales; Oleaceae.
GCUUUUAAACUUUUCUUGUCAAUAUGGCCUAACCUUUCAUGCCACAACUUUGCAAAGGUAAAGUUAUCAGUUAAAGCAGCAGCAGUCAAACCAAGUAAAAGUUUUGCUUCAAGAAAAUAGAGACCAUGUCUCUUAGGGGCACUAAUGACCAAGUCAUUUCCCCUAAGAAUUUUCAUAUGUCCUUGACCCAUUUUAAUAUCAAACUCCAUAUCAUCAAGCAUUCCUAGAGACACCAGAUUUCUUUCUAAGUCUGGA